This 21-nucleotide ribosomal RNA is filed under the name Hirsutella minnesotensis. Its description in RNAcentral is "partial 28S ribosomal RNA". Lineage: Eukaryota; Fungi; Ascomycota; Sordariomycetes; Hypocreales; Ophiocordycipitaceae. The record is from RNAcentral.
GUUGACCUCGGAUCAGUAGGA